Molecule: ribosomal RNA, 782 nt
Filed under: uncultured bacterium
Lineage: Bacteria
Description: bacterial SSU rRNA
Rfam family: Bacterial small subunit ribosomal RNA
Source: RNAcentral
AGAGUUUGAUCCUGGCUCAGAAUCAACGCUGGCGGCGUGCCUAACACAUGCAAGUCGAGCGAGAAAAGGGGGGCAACUCCCUGAGUAAAGCGGCGCACGGGUGAGUAACACGUGGGUAAUCUGCCCUGGAGUGGGGAAUAACACCGGGAAACCGGUGCUAAUACCGCAUACGAUCACGGAGUCUUAGGAUUUUGUGAUGAAAGGAGCAAUUCGCUCUAGGAGGAGCCCGCGGCUGAUUAGCUAGUUGGUGAGGUAACGGCUCACCAAGGCUUCGAUCAGUAUCCGGUCUGAGAGGACGGUCGGACACACUGGAACUGAGACACGGUCCAGACUCCUACGGGAGGCAGCAGUGGGGAAUUUUUCGCAAUGGGGGCAACCCUGACGAAGCAACGCCGCGUGGGUGAUGAAGUCUCUUGGGACGUAAAACCCUUUCGACGGGGAAGAAACCGCAAGGUUGACGGUACCCGUAGAAGAAGCCCCGGCUAACUCCGUGCCAGCAGCCGCGGUAAUACGGGGGGGGCAAGCGUUGUUCGGAAUUACUGGGCGUAAAGGGUGCGUAGGCGGUCCGCUAAGUUGGAUGUGAAAACUCUGGGCUUAACCCAGAGCCUGCAUUCAAAACUGACGGGCUAGAGUUCUGGAGGGGGUAGCGGAAUUCCUGGUGUAGCGGUGAAAUGCGUAGAUAUCAGGAGGAACACCGGUGGCGAAGGCGGCUACCUGGACAGAAACUGACGCUGAGGCACGAAAGCUAGGGGAGCAAACAGGAUUAGAUACCCUAGUAGUCC